ACCAGCCAGUAGCGUGCAGGAUGACGGCCCUAUGGGUUGUAAACUUCUUUUAUACGGGAAUAAAGUGAGCCACGUGUGGCUUUUUGCAUGUACCUUAUGAAUAAGGACCGGCUAAUUCCGUGCCAGCAGCCGCGGUAAUAACUA
RNAcentral lists this ribosomal RNA (144 nucleotides) under uncultured bacterium. RNAcentral describes it as "partial 16S ribosomal RNA". It matches the Rfam family "Bacterial small subunit ribosomal RNA", at positions 387 to 528 of the family's 1533-position model. The record is from RNAcentral.